AGUCGAGCGAACAGAAGGGAGCUUGCUCCCGGAUGUUAGCGGCGGACGGGUGAGUAACACGUGGGUAACCUGCCUGUAAGACUGGGAUAACUCCGGGAAACCGGAGCUAAUACCGGAUAGUUCCUUGAACCGCAUGGUUCAAGGAUGAAAGACGGUUUCGGCUGUCACUUACAGAUGGACCCGCGGCGCAUUAGCUAGUUGGUGGGGUAAUGGCUCACCAAGGCGACGAUGCGUAGCCGACCUGAGAGGGUGAUCGGCCACACUGGGACUGAGACACGGCCCAGAUUCCUACGGGAGGCAGCAGUAGGGAAUCUUCCGCAAUGGACGAAAGUCUGACGGAGCAACGCCGCGUGAGUGAUGAAGGUUUUCGGAUCGUAAAGCUCUGUUGUUAGGGAAGAACAAGUGCGAGAGUAACUGCUCGCACCUUGACGGUACCUAACCAGAAAGCCACGGCUAACUACGUGCCAGCAGCCGCGGUAAUACGUAGGUGGCAAGCGUUGUCCGGAAUUAUUGGGCGUAAAGGGCUCGCAGGCGGUUUCUUAAGUCUGAUGUGAAAGCCCCCGGCUCAACCGGGGAGGGUCAUUGGAAACUGGGAAACUUGAGUGCAGAAGAGGAGAGUGGAAUUCCACGUGUAGCGGUGAAAUGCGUAGAGAUGUGGAGGAACACCAGUGGCGAAGGCGACUCUCUGGUCUGUAACUGACGCUGAGGAGCGAAAGCGUGGGGAGCGAACAGGAUUAGAUACCCUGGUAGUCCACGCCGUAAACGAUGAGUGCUAAGUGUUAGGGGGUUUCCGCCCCUUAGUGCUGCAGCUAACGCAUUAAGCACUCCGCCUGGGGAGUACGGUCGCAAGACUGAAACUCAAAGGAAUUGACGGGGGCCCGCACAAGCGGUGGAGCAUGUGGUUUAAUUCGAAGCAACGCGAAGAACCUUACCAGGUCUUGACAUCCUCUGACAACCCUAGAGAUAGGGCUUUCCCUUCGGGGACAGAGUGACAGGUGGUGCAUGGUUGUCGUCAGCUCGUGUCGUGAGAUGUUGGGUUAAGUCCCGCAACGAGCGCAACCCUUGAUCUUAGUUGCCAGCAUUUAGUUGGGCACUCUAAGGUGACUGCCGGUGACAAACCGGAGGAAGGUGGGGAUGACGUCAAAUCAUCAUGCCCCUUAUGACCUGGGCUACACACGUGCUACAAUGGACAGAACAAAGGGCUGCGAGACCGCAAGGUUUAGCCAAUCCCAUAAAUCUGUUCUCAGUUCGGAUCGCAGUCUGCAACUCGACUGCGUGAAGCUGGAAUCGCUAGUAAUCGCGGAUCAGCAUGCCGCGGUGAAUACGUUCCCGGGCCUUGUACACACCGCCCGUCACACCACGAGAGUUUGCAACACCCGAAGUCGGUGAGGUAACCUUUAUGGAGCCAGCCGCCGAAGG
RNAcentral lists this ribosomal RNA (1419 nucleotides) under Bacillus pumilus. RNAcentral's name for it is "bacterial SSU rRNA". It matches the Rfam family "Bacterial small subunit ribosomal RNA". Lineage: Bacteria; Bacillati; Bacillota; Bacilli; Caryophanales; Bacillaceae. The record is from RNAcentral.